This 476-nucleotide ribosomal RNA is filed under the name uncultured bacterium. RNAcentral's name for it is "bacterial SSU rRNA". It matches the Rfam family "Bacterial small subunit ribosomal RNA", at positions 29 to 480 of the family's 1533-position model. The record is from RNAcentral.
AACUAACGCUGGCGGCGUGCCUAACACAUGCAAGUCGUACGAGAAAGCCGGCUUCGGCUGGUGAGUAAAGUGGCGCACGGGUGAGUAACGCGUGGAUAAUCUGCCCUUAAGUAUGGAAUAACGUACCGAAAGGUGCGCUAAUACCGCAUAAUGCCUGGCAACACAAGUUGUCCGGCCAAAGAAGGCCUCUGUUUACAAGCUUUCGCUUCAGGAUGAGUCCGCGUACCAUUAGCUUGUUGGUGGGGUAAUGGCCUACCAAGGCUGCGAUGGUUAGCUGGUCUGAGAGGAUGAUCAGCCACACUGGAACUGAGACACGGUCCAGACUCCUACGGGAGGCAGCAGUGAGGAAUAUUGCGCAAUGGGGGCAACCCUGACGCAGCAACGCCGCGUGAGUGAGGAAGGUUUUCGGACUGUAAAGCUCUGUCGAGCGGGAAGAAGUGUACCAUGGCUAAUAUCCAUGAUAUUUGACGGUACCG